CAUCAGUGGCGAAAGCGGUUAUCUGGAUUAUUUAUGACACUGAGAUACGAAAGCAUGGGGAGCAAACAGGAUUAGAUACCCUGGUAGUCCAUGCCGUAAACGAUGAGAGUUAAUUGUUAGAUUUUUUUUAAUUUAGUGAUUGAGUUAACGCAUUAAACUCUCCGCCUGGGAAGUACGAUCGCCAGAU
Molecule: ribosomal RNA, 187 nt
Filed under: uncultured bacterium
Lineage: Bacteria
Description: partial 16S ribosomal RNA
Rfam family: Bacterial small subunit ribosomal RNA
Source: RNAcentral